RNAcentral lists this transfer RNA (66 nucleotides) under Clathrina clathrus. RNAcentral describes it as "tRNA-Asn". The stretch from base 3 to 58 matches the Rfam family "tRNA", at positions 8 to 63 of the family's 71-position model. Rfam says of the family: Transfer RNA (tRNA) molecules are approximately 80 nucleotides in length. Their secondary structure includes four short double-helical elements and three loops (D, anti-codon, and T loops). Lineage: Eukaryota; Metazoa; Porifera; Calcarea; Clathrinida; Clathrinidae. The record is from RNAcentral.
CCUAAUUUAAUGGUAGAAUCUCGUACUGUUAAUACGAUGGCAUGGGUUCGAUUCCCAGACCCUGAA